GAUGAACGCUGGCGGCGUGCCUAAUACAUGCAAGUCGAGCGAACAGAUGAGGAGCUUGCUCCUCUGACGUUAGCGGCGGACGGGUGAGUAACACGCGGAUAACCUACCUAUAAGACUGGGAUAACUUCGGGAAACCGGAGCUAAUACCGGAUAAUAUAUUGAACCGCAUGGUUCAAUAGUGAAAGACGGUUUUGCUGUCACUUAUAGAUGGAUCCGCGCCGCAUUAGCUAGUUGGUAAGGUAACGGCUUACCAAGCCAACGAUGCGUAGCCGACCUGAGAGGGUGAUCGGCCACACUGGAACUGAGACACGGUCCAGACUCCUACGGGAGGCAGCAGUAGGGAAUCUUCCGCAAUGGGCGAAAGCCUGACGGAGCAACGCCGCGUGAGUGAUGAAGGUCUUCGGAUCGUAAAGCUCUGUUAUUAGGGAAGAACAAAUGUGUAAGUAAAUAUGCACGUCUUGACGGUACCUAAUCAGAAAGCCACGGCUAACUACGUG
RNAcentral lists this ribosomal RNA (497 nucleotides) under uncultured bacterium. RNAcentral's name for it is "partial 16S ribosomal RNA". It matches the Rfam family "Bacterial small subunit ribosomal RNA", at positions 28 to 507 of the family's 1533-position model. The record is from RNAcentral.